ACGCACGCUGGCGGCAUGCCUCACCCAUGCAAGUCGAACGAGACCUUCGGGUCUAGUGGCGCACGGGUGCGUAACGCGUGGGAACCUGCCCUUAGGUUCGGCAUAACUCCCCGAAAGGGGUGCUAAUACCGGCUAAUGUCUUCGGACCAAAGAUUUAUCGCCUUUGGAUGGGCCCGCGUUGGAUUUGCUAGUUGGUAGGGUAAAAGCCUACCAAGGGGACGAUCCAUAGCUGGUCUGAGAGGAUGAUCAGCCACACUGGGACUGAGACACGGCCCAGACUCCUACGGGAGGCAGCAGUAGGGAAUAUUGGACAAUGGGCGAAAGCCUGAUCCAGCAAUGCCGCGUGAGUGAUGAAGGCCUUAGGGUUGUAAAGCUCUUUUACCCGGGAUGAUAAUGACAGUACCGGGAGAAUAAGCUCCGGCUAACUCCGUG
RNAcentral lists this ribosomal RNA (432 nucleotides) under uncultured bacterium. Its description in RNAcentral is "partial 16S ribosomal RNA". It matches the Rfam family "Bacterial small subunit ribosomal RNA", at positions 29 to 507 of the family's 1533-position model. The record is from RNAcentral.